UGGACAAAUUGAAACAUCUAAGUAAUCUAAAAAAAAAUCAAACGAGAAUCCGUAAAUAACGGCGAGCAAACGCGGAUUAGAAUAAAACCUUUUUUUUUAUGAAAUAUUUAUUACAAAAGGUUGAAAAUCCUGUAGUUAAAAAUAUCAAAGGCUUUUUUUUAAGUAUUAAAGUUUUUCUUAAUGAAAAUUGGAGUACCAUCUUCAAAACACUAAAAAAAUUAAUCAUAAAUAGUAAAAAAGUACCGUAAGGGAAAGGUGAAUUUACUCUGAAUUUUAAUGCUGGUAACUCUUGAAGCUUUUUAAAGUACCAAAGAUACCUUUUGCAAAAUGAAUCAACGAGUUUAUAUUUUAGGCGAGUUUAGAUUGUUGUUUAUAAAUAAAGAGAAACCGAAAAAAGUCUUAAAUAUAAAACCCGAAACCUUGUGAUCUAACCAUUAACGGGUUGAAAAUUUAAAGGAGACUUUUAUUGAAGGACCUAACUCGUGUAUGUUACAAAAUACUGAGAUGAUUUUUGGUUAGGGGUGAAAGGCCAAUCAAACAAGGCAAUAGCUGGUUUUCUGCGAAAUUUAUUCUAGUAAAAUGUUUAAAACUAAUAACAGGGGUAAAGCACUUUUUUAACACGGGAAUCAUGUAUUUACCAAAUUAUUGAAAACUUUGAAUACAAUUUUGAUGUUUUAAAUAAUCGGACUUUGGGUGCUAAGAUCCAAUUUAGUCAAAAGGGAAACAGCCCAGAUUAUAUGUUAAGGACCUUAAAAAUAAAAAAGUAAAAAGUGGUUAUAAAAUUUUAAGUUUUAGGAGGUAAGCUUGGAAGCAGCUAUCCUAUAAUGAAAGCGUAAAAGCUCACUUGAUUAAUUUUAUAGCACUGAAAAUUUAAAGGGAUUUUUAAUAUUUUCCGAAACAAUAAAAUUCAAUUCGAAUUGGUAGCAGAAAUAUUUCAUAUUUUUUAAAAGUUAAGCGGAUAAGGCUUAAUGAAAAAAUUGGAGGAACGAAUGUUGAUAUAAGUAGCUAAAAGAAUAAAAAAUUUUCUCGUCAAAAGUUUAAGGGUUUCCUAUAUAAAUUUUUUUUAAGGAAGAAAAAUUCAAAAAUAUUCGGCCCCUAAAGUUAAAGUGAAAACUUUUUUUGAUGGGAAUUAUUUAAAAAUUUGUGAAUUGCGACAAAAGGUUAGAAAUUUUUUAAGAAAAAAACUCAAAGAAUUUUAUCCUUUUCAAGAAAAAACAUUUGCUUUUUACCGUACCAUAACCCGAAACUGGUAAACUAGUUAAAAGCUAAGACGCUUGAGUUAAUUGUGUAAAAGGAACUCGGCAAAAUUCUUCUGUAACUUCGGAAAAAAGAAGAACUUUUUUUGUAAGUUAUGCUAAAAAGGUUGGCACAAAAAUGAAAGGGGGAACUGUUUAACAAAAACACAGGUCUUUGCAAAUUCGUAAGAAUAAGUAUAAAGGCUGACUUCUGCCCGGUGCUGUAAAUUUAAAAGAAAAAAGUAUUUGCUUUUUUAUUAAGAUUCAGUAAACGGCGGUUUUAAUUCUGAAAAUCCUAAGGUAGCAUAAUUUCCUACCACCUAAUUUGUGGCGCGCAUGAAUGAAGUAAUCACCUCUUUACUGUCUCUUACACAAUCUCAGUGAAAUUGGAAUACUUGUGAAAAUACAAGUUUUUAAUGAUUAGACAGAAAGACCCCAAGACCUUUACUAUUUUUUUCCAUUGACAUCUUUUGAUAGUUAAAUAGAUUAGGUGGUAGUUUUAAAAAACUAAAUAUGAAAGACCACUUUCUUAUUAAAAAACGUCUAACUUUUUUAAAAAAGAAAAAAGUGUAAAAUUGGUAGUUUAGCUGGGGCGGUUUCCUACUAAAAAAUAACGAAGGAGUACAUAAAAUAAACUCAUAUAAAUUUUUUUAUAAAAGAGCAUAAUAGUAUAUGUUUAUUUAACUGCAAGAAAAACAAUUUCAAACAGAAGUGUAAGCUGGUUAUAAUGAUCCGAUAAUUUUGAGUGGAAAAUUUAUCGCUUAACGAAUAAAAGGUACCUUGGGGAUAACAGCCUAAUUACUCUUUAAAGUUCAUAUUGAAAGAGUAGCUUGGGACCUCGAUGUCGGCUCAUCAUAACCUGACGCUGUAGUUGGUGUCAAGGGUGCGGUUGUUCGCCGCAAAAUAUGAUACGUGAGCUGGGUUCAGAACGCUGUGAAGCAGUUUGGUCCUUAUCUUUCAUUAACAAAUGAAAACUGAAAAAAGUAAAUCUUAGUACGAGAGGACCAGAAAAAAUAUACCUAUGGUGUAGCAAUUGUUUAAUUUGCAAAGUUGCAUAGCUAAGUAUACUAAACUAAGUGCUGAAAACAUAUAAGCAUAAAAUUUUUUUUAAGAAGUCCGGUUUUCAAGUUAAGAAUUGUAAUAGAUUAUUACAUAAAUAGAUAAACGUGUGUAAUUUUUGUAAAAAGUUUAGCCUCUUUAAACUAAAAUUU
This 2446-nucleotide ribosomal RNA is filed under the name Chrysoreinhardia sp. CCMP2950. Its description in RNAcentral is "partial Bacterial large subunit ribosomal RNA". It matches the Rfam family "Bacterial large subunit ribosomal RNA". The record is from RNAcentral. Lineage: Eukaryota; Pelagophyceae; Sarcinochrysidales; Chrysocystaceae.